Molecule: long non-coding RNA, 11004 nt
Filed under: Solanum tuberosum (potato)
Lineage: Eukaryota; Viridiplantae; Streptophyta; Magnoliopsida; Solanales; Solanaceae
Description: long non-coding RNA (STUB_LNC001684)
Source: RNAcentral
ACAUUUUGAGUUGUGUUACUUGUAAAUCAUCUCAGGGUGUAAAUGCUUUUGCUCUUGAAAAACAGAUUGAAGAAAUGAAUGCGUGUCCAUGAAAAAUGAGUCAUGGCACAUAUCUUGUUAUUUGAUGGAUCUAGUGUUGAGACCUGUAUUAUUUUGCUCCAGUCUUGCAGUUGCUGCUUUACUAGCUUGUACUUGUCAAAUUUAUGGUAAAAUAAUCUCAAUUUAUGUAUUGAACCUUUCUUUCUCCUCCUUCAUUCACACCUUAUGCUUUGGUGAGUAAUGUAAUAGGACAAGUAGUGCUAUGGAUGAGUGACGUUUGAUCCAUUUUUGGGGUAUUUCUAUGAUUUCAUACUGAGUUGAGCCUUUGUGCUAUGUGUCCUUUUAAUGUACUCCCCAAAUGUUCUCAAUUUACUUUGUUUUCUCACAUCGCAAGCCCUAUUUUUUCUGAUAGAUUUUGAAGGUAGAUGCUUUAAUUGAAACCCUGCUCUCCUCUCUAGAGUACUCUAAGGUCUUCACUCCUUUUGUUCUAACUAAUUUCUCCCCAAGUCAUGGAUAAUACAUUUAAAAAAAAUAAUUUCAAUAUUAAUAAAGUAAAGUUUUGAGUAAUUAAAUAAUUAUACAUGAAAUAAAAAGUAUAACUUUUAUUUUUUUGUAAAUGAUAAAAGUAAAUUAUUUAAGUUGUCUCUAUGUGAUCUAUAUGUAAUUAACAUGUUCGGCGUAGACAGUGGAGGAGCCAAAAAUUCCACUAAAGAUGUGUCAAAAUAUAAAGAUGGAAAUUCACUAAGAAGUCAAGAGGAGUUAAUAUAUAGUAUAUGUAUACAUAAAAUUCUUUUUACCUUGCUAACAAUGUAAUUUUCCGCUAAAGGGGUGUUAAUUGAGAUCCCUUGAAUACAUGUGGCUCUGCCACUGACCGUGAAUGUAGCCACUAAUGAUUGUAUUAGAAUAAGUUGUCUAUAUUACACUCUUGGGGUACAUCACUUCUCCUAACUUGGCUACACUACCCUUACCAAUCAAUGCGAAUUAACGUAUCCUGACUUGUUUGUAUCGAGGUCAUGAUGAUUGAUUUAAUAAAGAAGUUUAAUUAGUCACAUACGUUUUUCACACUUAUUUUACUUUUAUUAUAAGUUACAAAUAUAUAGUGAAUUAUAACUUACUUAAUACAUCCUUGUAAUUGAUAUUUCUUAGGUAUGUUUCUAUUAAGAAAAUAAAUAAAAAUAUCAAACUUACUAUAAAUCAACACCAAAGCUCCACACCACAAAUUAAUACUAACAAAUAAAAUUUUGGCUAACCUAGGCAAAUAAAUAUUUAUUUUAGGCAUUAUAAAUAUUUUGCCAAGUUUCGUCGUCAUCAUUAUAUCAACACCUUCAAAAAUCGAAUCCAUUGCAAACCUUAUAUUUUUAGAUAUAUUUUGAAGGUUGAUGAACUAAAACUCUCCUCUCUUCUGUAUAUUAAGUGUGAGUCCCUUGGACGACCAAUGGUCUAAUUUCAUACUGAGUUCUUCGUUGUGUGACAUGUCCUUUUCGCUCACUUUUCAAAUGUUUUUAAUUCACUUUGUCUUCUCACAACUUACCUUUCUGUUAAAUUUAGGCAGACAUUAGGUUUUUGUAAUGACCUGACCGGGUUAUUAUGAGUAGGCCAUUAGUGAAGAGUUCGGGCCAAUUUUUUUUACGGAUAGUGAUUUAUUGUUUUGGCUAAGCCAUCCUUAGAAAGAAUCUGGGCUAGGUGAGGUCUAGGAUCAUCUGGAAUUCAGUGGAGGUGUUAUGUUGAGUUUUGGUUGAGAUAUUCUUGUAGCCAAGGCAUUAUGGAGUCCAUAAGGCCUUUCCAAAUCGGAUUCAGGUAAGUAGAACUCCUGGAAUUUAUCUUGCCAUGGAAGGUAUGUGUUGGGACGUCAAGAGAAGGGGUUGUGUUGUAAAAAUGGCCUUUUUCUGGAGUGGGAGUCUCUGAUGUCUCGUCGAGCCUGCUAUAGUGACGCUCAGACUGCUAUAGCGGACGAUGUCUCGCUGUAGCGAUGAUCAAACCAUUAAAACAUGAUAAAUUUCUGCUAUAACGACGCCGCUACAGAGGGAUGGCCCGCUAUAGCACGGUGAAAAAGGUUUUAUGCAGAAACAACCCCAAAAUCCUUAGUUUAUGCACUUUGUGUUCUUGGACUUGGGAGGGGCAAUUUUGGGCAGUUUGCACUCAUUUUUCCACAGAAUUUAUUGGUAAAGGUAAGAAUUUGACUCCCCAACCUUGUACAUUGAUUCUUAAGCCUUAGAAUCUAAAUUAAUCCUCGUAAGGGGGAGGGGGUUGGGGGUUUGACAUGAUUCCAUGGUGGAAAAAACCCUAAGUUGGGGAAGAUCAUGAUAUAUUGGCUUUAUCCCAAAGUUAUUAGGCCAUUGGUUGAUUGAAUGUUGUGUUGUAUUUGUUAUUUUAGACCAAGAACAAGAUAAAGCUUUACAAAGGGUUCAAGGUUCGCGAUCAGACUUCUGAAGCAAUUUCUUGGCACCUAGAUAGGCUAGGUUUUCUUAAUUGAGUAGUUAGACCUGUUUUCUAUUGCAUGACAUUUUGUACAUUGACGGGAGGUUUCAUGCCGAGGCCUUCCGGUACAAAGUUUGUAAGGUUAAAAGUUGUUGUUUAUUGUUGUUAGGGCAAGAAAAGAUAAUAACUAAGGGGUGGUUUCUCUAGUUCUUGAUUGUUAAUCUUGAGUUUCCUUGUUGGGGUGAUUUGGUGUUAAUGGUAAGGUUAGUGUUAUGAAAUUUCUAGGUUAUAGCCAUUUCUGUGACUUGUGGUAAUCAAGGGGAACAAAUGUGUGUUCAUAAAAAAAGGUCCAAUAUUUGGCUAUUGGUACAUGCAUACAUGUGAUGGUUGUAUAAUUCCGGUUUAUGCAUGUAUGCAUGUCUACUGCUUAGUAGUAUCAUUUGUGAAAUGCAUGGGUAGGGAGACAUAUGAAAUGACAUCAGAUAAUAUCAUGUAAUGAACUUGUUAUUAUGACUUGUGGUUUACAAGUUGUAUUGCUCAUUGUGAUAUGUGAUUGUGCAUGAUUUUUUGUGAUUGUUAGUUGGCUCGGGUAGCAGACUGGUAUACUAACUACGGAUGGCUUGGGUACUACACAUAUACACUAAUUAUGGAUGGAUUAGGUACCAUGCCGGUACACUAACUAUGGAUGACUCAAGUACCACACCGGUACACUAACUAUGGAUGACUCGGGUACCACGUUGGUACACUGACAAUUUGAGUUUGAGUUUCAUGAGAGGACUAUGUAUGUGUAUUUGUGAUCAUGUGGGACACAUUUCAUGCAUUGGUUGAUUCCAGGUAUUGUUUGAUUUCAUGAUAUUGUGACUGAGAGUCUAUGUGUCUGUGAUUGUUGUUAUAUGUGAUUGGGAUGAGUUUAUGGUAUUGCGGGUUGUGCAUAUAAAUCUAAGGUAAUGGAAUUCGGACUGUGUUAUACUUGUGAUUAUAAUUUUUUUAACUAUUGAGUUGAGUUUAAGGAAACUCAAUGCUUUAGUUGUUUUUAAACCGUGUUUCUAUUUAUCUUGAUGUUAUUGAUUUAUUGAAAUGGUGGUUGUUAAGUUGGACAGAUGAUCGGGGUCUGGUGUAUGGUUAAGUGUGAUUGGUCAUGAUUGUCUAGUAUUCUUAGAACUUAUUUGAUAAUGGGGAUGUGAGUCAAGAGGGAUGAGUUGGUUUAAGUAAGUUGGUUGAUAGGGCUAGUGAUGGCCUUGUAUUCAUGAAUAUUAUGUGGUAGAAGAGUUAGGCUAUGAUUUGACAUUAGUGGUUGUUUUGUAUUCGGGAAUAUCUAUGUGAUAGUAGGGUUAGGUUAUUAUCUGAUAUUAGGGUGACAUCACAUGUAGGAUUGGGAAUCCUUAGGGUGACAUCACAGGUCUGCUUGGAAGCCAUAGGGUGACAUCACAGGUCGGCUUGGGAAGCCAUAGGGUGACAUCACAAGUAGGUUUGGGAAGCCUUAGGAUGAUAUCACCGGUAGGCUUGGGAAGCCUUAGGGUGACAUCACAUGUAGGCUUGGGAAAUGUCACGACCCGAAAAUCAGAAAUGAUAAUAUUUAUCUUAUCCCACUAAGACCGGUGUAACACCUCGGAUUGGAAAAAGGGAGAAAAAAUAUUUUUGGGUUGUAGGUUGUGUUACGAUUCCCAUCUAAGGACCAUAGAAGCUUUUACGGGUCGUACAUGGCAACCGUAUGAAGGGGGAAAAUAUUUUUUUCAAAGUAAGUCCAGUACCCUUUGUUUGGUUCAUCAAGAUGGCUCAUCAUCCCAUGUACGAGUCAUAGACAUGUCUCGUAGGUGAGUCCCAAACUUAGUAAAAUUUUAAGGGAUCAAGUUGGUUUCUACAGUUAGUGUUUACGAGUCCGUAGGAAGACCUAUGAGUCCUAGAUAGGAUCAAAAGUUAGUCCAAUUUCAAGAUUUCUGAAUCUUUCUACGGUUGAUCAGUACGGUUCGUAGAAAGACCUAUAGAUCGGUAGGUCGAGUCUACAACUUCUUUUUAAAAGGGCUUUUAGGUCUUUUCCUAGUUAUUUAAUCUUAUACUACGUCAUUUUGCCUGCUACCUGAUGAGUCCACGAAUUGGACUCAUUCAGGGCUAUAUUUUAAUAGAAAUUGUGUCCUCAAAUGCUUAUUUUAUCUCAAUAUCUGAUGAAAACCGUUAAGUUUUAGGUAUUUGAAAUUUUAAGAAGAGCAUAGACACUACGUCGCAAAAAGGAAUGAAAAGGCUGAAAAGAACGAAGAAAUGAAGGCCUGAGGAUCGCCGAGUCCACUUGGCGAGUCGCUGAAGGGUUUUACUUCGCCUUCUGUUCCAGUGUGCUAAGCCCUUAAGAAAAAGAUCAAGUCGGCGGAAAAAGGGAGCAGUCGGCACAUCGCCGAGCAGUUCCGCCAAACAGUACCAUGCCACCCAAUAACCCAGAGCACGAUGAUGCUGAAGGCUGGUNNNNNNNNNNNNNNNNNNNNNNNNNNNNNNNNNNNNNNNNNNNNNNNNNNNNNNNNNNNNNNNNNNNNNNNNNNNNNNNNNNNNNNNNNNNNNNNNNNNNNNNNNNNNNNNNNNNNNNNNNNNNNNNNNNNNNNNNNNNNNNNNNNNNNNNNNNNNNNNNNNNNNNNNNNNNNNNNNNNNNNNNNNNNNNNNNNNNNNNNNNNNNNNNNNNNNNNNNNNNNNNNNNNNNNNNNNNNNNNNNNNNNNGGGGUGUGAUUUAGCGAAUAUGGGUUAAGAUAAUUGUUGGGUCUUGCUUGUUGAUAGAUUAAAUGUAGUUUAAUGGUGAUUUCGUCUAGUAGUUGUGGUUGAAUCUAAUGGAUUUGUAGUUGAAAAUACUAGUUCACUCAUGUGUUUUCGGCUUACUCGAGAGAUAAGUCGCGAAACCAAGACCACUAGAUUGAUGGCCUAAGGAGUGGGUCGACAUGAGGCUCAGCCCAAGAGGGUGAGCCCUAGUCCCAUAUCAUAACACUCUGCUCGAGAGAGUGAGUGGGGUAAGGCGUAGGCUGGUCUUCAUGUGGCAAGUGGGUGUCCGAGAGGAACCCAUUUGAAACGGGGUAAGUUGCUCGAGAGAGAACUUAUUCCCACAUAAAGCUUAGCCUAGUCACUAUUACUCUAUAAAUGUUCUAUCGAAAGCAUGUACCCAAUAAUUUAGAUUAACCCGUAUUCCGGUCACAUCCCAAGAAUCCCCUUCUCAUUGUUAGAUUUUCUUGUUAAUCUUGCUAAAAAUAGCUUACUUGUGACAAAACCCCCAUUUGUUAAUUGACACUUUUGUUUCUCUCUUUAAUUUACAAUGUUUUUACUCGUUAAUAUCUUUAGCUACGACUAGUUAGAACUAAGUUUUAUUUCUCUAUAAAUUCUCAAAACCACUCCCUUGGGACACGACCCUAACCCUUUGUUGGGUUACUAUACUAUUGCACGAUCGUAGACACCUGAACUAUAAGACGUGUCAUUGAUUAUGCAAACAUCAAAAUGGCGCCGCUGCCGGGGAGUGGUGUUAUUUGAGAAUUUUUUAGAUUAGUAUACUUUUUGUUCUUCUUCGUCGUAGUUUACUAACUUAAUUUUUAGUUUUGUCUUGUUGGUUUGUCUGUAUCCAAGUAGAGGAAGUUAGCAGUACUCGGGAGCUAAUGGAGUUUCCUCCAUUAGAGGUAAUGUUGUUCCGAGAUCGUAUCCUCACCUUUAAGCAAUCGGAAGGUGAACGGAUUGACAAGUCAUGGGCAAGGUUUAAUGACUUGAUCACUCAUUGCCCAACUCAUAACAUUCCUGACAUGGCACUCCUGAACUGCAUCUAUAGAAGUCUUGGUCCUGGAAACAAGAGAGUGGUCGACCAACUCAUUCCGGGAGGCCUUGUAAAACAGUCAUAUGUGAAAGUAGCCAACUGCUUAAUCAAAUGGUUGAAACGCACCAAGAGGUAGAAAAAGACUUCAUGUUGGCCGCCCUAAUUGCUUAGAUUGAUGAGUUGGCCAAAAAGAUGGUAAAGAUCGAAUUCCAGUACAAAAGGAAGGAUAAAUACAUCCCUCCUAAUGAGCGAAGAAAUCCCAAGGACAAUGAGGUUAAACGCCUUGAGCGCAUGCUCUCAAUCAUUCUCCACAAGGUAACUGAGCAAGAUAAAAAGCUGGAAGAAAUGAAGGAAAACAUUGAAGGGAUGAAGCGAUUGAUUUGGUCUCAAUCCAGAGCUGUCCAGCUGCUCGAGAGCCUUAUGGGUCAUGCGUCGCCCGAUCUACACUCGCAACAAAACAUGAGGUUGCCUAUUGAUACUAUGGCUAACCCCAAAAAUGGAAUUUGACAGCUGACAUGUGUCGUGCCACAACGUUAACUAAGGCGCUGUUUGGGAGGCAACCCAAAACCUUUUUAAAUGCUUUAUUGUUGUCUCAGGAAUAACGGUGUGUUGAAUGUACAGGUUGAAGUGGGGAAAGUGGGUUGAAAUUGCGUUUGGCGAGUUAACACUUCCAUUCAGCGAAUCGCCGGACAGGUUGGCGAUCACGAUGAAGACCGCCGUUUAAACACUCACUUUGACUGAAGGUUCUGUAAAACUCGGCGAGCCAAAUGACCACUUGGCGUGUCGCCGAAAGGAUCGGCUAGUGCGACUAAUGUCGCCGAAUGGGCACGAACUGGACGGUUUAUAAUGGCCAAAAGUCCUAGAAUUUGAAAUCCUUCACUUUCCCUCUCUAUUAAUCUUCACAAACUCACACCAAUGUAGUAUUUUCCCUAUUUUAGCAUUAUAAUAGUCUUUUGGUUAGUUCAUUUGUGCUCGGAAGUGGAUUCCGUUGCUGCCUAGCUUUUCAAUCACAUUUUAAUCGGCACAAAAGGUUAGUUCUCCGAACCCUAAGUUUAUUUUUGAAUAGUUUGUACUCUUUUGCAAUGAUCGUAUCUUAUUGAUGUGUGCUGGGCCUCUCUGAUAGGAUUAUAAUGCUUAAAUUCCUAUUUAAAUCGGAAAUCUUCCCCGUAUUGAUUUGAUAGUCAAAUGUUCAUAAAUUGUGUGAUUUUAAAUGAGUGAAAUUAUAUUGGGGUGUGCUUGCGUGCUGUUUAGAUUGAUUGGGUGGAAUCUGAGUAGCCAUUGUUUGUGCUAAACAACGGGAACUGCUCAAUGAUAGAGCGAGGGACACCACUCUUAAGAGCAAAUAUCGUCAAAUGGCCAAAUUUGGCAAAUCCGGGAGAAACCUGAGUAUCCAGGGGCAAUGGGUAGUGCGGGUCUUGUUUGAAUUUCAUUAGUACAUGCUUUGAUUUUGUUUUCGGGGCUUGCGGGAUUGAAUUCGGGAAGGUGGAUUGAAAAUGGGCACGUUGGGCCAUUUGGCGAGCUGAGGCAAGCUUGCCGAAUCACUCGGCGAUUCACCUAUUUUCUUCAUCUCGCGUUUAAUUUUGUGUCAAGUUUGUGGUUUGAGUCUGUAACUUUCGGCGAGAUGCCUGCCUUCGCCGAAUGCACUCGGCGAAUCGCCGAAAGUAUUCUUUAUCGCUCUUUAUUUUCCCCCCUGAGACCCUUAUGCACUGCAACUUUCGGCGGACAAACCCUUGCUCGCCGAAAGUAGUCAGUGAUUCACUGAAAAAUACCUCCCCAUCGCUGACUUGCUAUGAUUUGAAGCCAACCCUUUCGGCGAGCCCGAGUUAGCUCGCUAAAGAGGUUCGGCGACUCGCCGAUCCACUUGGCAAGUUUUCCUGCAGAAGAUUACCUGUGCUUCUACUUGAUUUCUCAUCUAACUCUUUCCAAUCUUUUGCAGAUAUGACUAAACUUAACAAAGCAUGUAGCAACACACCAACCCGAGGCAAAGAAAAAGGGAUCACACUCAACGAGGAUGCAACUGCGUCCACGAACAAGGCCACUAAACUUUCCACAACUGGUGGGAAAGGCAAGGGCAAGGACAACCCCAUUGAGCUAUCAGAUGCAAGCUCCGACAAUACUAGUUUUUACACCAAUGACCCAACAACAUAUUAUAGUGAGAGUAUGGGUUCAGACGAAGAUGAACUGAUGGAGGCACAGAGGAAUGAAUUACGAUCUAAACAGCUAAACGACCCAUCUCAAAUCAGAAAUCCUCGAUCCACCACUCUGACUCCUCCAGUUUCAGAGCAGGCAAUAGUACUGGCACCUCCAGUACAGGUCCCCCCACCUAAAUCAAUGAAUAGAUUAAAUUCUGAGGGACUGAGAAUGAUCAUUGAGAAAAAAUGGCUGUCCAUAGAUGGGGUGAUCGAUAGGUAUCCUGAGAUAAUAGAGUGCCUGAAAUAUCACAAAUUCCAAACCUUUACAAAACCCCGUGGAUCUUAUAUACCAAGCUAGGUCAGGGAAUUUUACAAUGCAUACAGUGCAAUGGUACCUCAACAGAAGAGGCUGGUAUCGUCUUUCAAAGUAGUUGACUACGUGGUUGUCAGAGGACGGAAGGUAGCUUGUGACAGUGAGGUUAUCAACACAGUCUUAGGUAUGUCCGAUAAAAUUAAUGAUCACUGCCAGCAUUUGAUCAGAACAGAGAAGCUGGAUGCGAUGAAAAAGUGGUUAGCGCCGAUAAUCUCAGAUGAUAAUGCUCUGAAAUGGUUAGUAGAAGGUGUUUUGAUCGAAAAGAAAGAUCUGAACAUAGCUGCAAGAUACUAGUUCGUGUUCAUCAGUAGCACAAUUAUGCCAUCACAAAAUGAAUCAAUCCUUCGCCUUCCCAAGGCAGCUUGUCUUGGAUGCAUCAUAGAAAAAACCAGGAUAAAAUAUAGGGAUGAUCAUUGCUUCUGAGAUCCAUAUGCGUGCAAAGCAAAGCCAGACAUCUCUUCCUUUCCCGAUAUUAAUCACUACAUUGUGCAAAAGAGCUCGGGUGCCUAGCGAUGCAAAGAAGGAUGUGGAAUUGGUUGCCACCGCCUCCACCAGUAUUCGAAUGAUCUAAGCCGAAUAUCAUAAGGAACAAGCGGAAAAGAAACAGAAGGAAGCUAUGGUCACUGGAUAUAUACCUGCAGAGGCAUCUUUGCCUACUCCGCCCCCUGGCCUUCAGGUAUAUCUGAUGCCAUUACCACUCCUGCUGACCCUCCAGGUCCCUCUGCUGCCUCAUUACCACUAAGGCCUACUGCUGUUGUUGCCUUCUGUGGGCUGAUCACUCAGGAAUCCUUGAUCCGGAUGGGACAGCUUGCCCAAUCUGCUAAUUGUCGGACUGCCAACAUAGAAAGCUCUAUUCCAGGUAUGAUCCAGUUUUCCCUAACUAAUGCUGUGAAACCUCUGAACACUACCAUUGAUGCCCUAACAGCCAGGAUAGCAGUGUGUGAACACAACCAAGGAGCCACAGAGGAGGUAACAACCUUAAAGGCCGCCAUUGAAGAAAGAUGUGGACCACCUAAAGUCCACUGAUAUGUCCAUGAUCUUUGGAACAGUGGAAAUUGCAGAUGUGCCCGAAAUGCCUCAGACUACCACAGGAGAUGGAGAUGUCAUGGAGCAUACAAUCGAUCCCGAAUCAGAGGCAGAGACUGACGAAGAGAUGUUUGAGGAAGCUGCAGUGGAAGACAUGGCCGAGACUGAAGAAAUCAUGAUAUAUGCUACUGUGCAGGCUUCCUUGGCAAAGGCUCCUGCUGCUGGAUCCAAUGAAGCUGGUCCUUCUGGAGGUCACUCUGGGCACUAAAGCCCAGACAGAUGAAGCGACCGAUUAGCCAUGAUCACCUCUUUACCUCCCUCUCUGUCUUUCUUUAUUUUACAUUUCGGAUUAUGUGUUAAUUGCAUUUGAGGACAAAUUGCUUUUAUUUGUGGUGGGGUGAGGCCCACCUUUUGUGUGCUAUUUGUGACUCGUGUUUUUGCUUAUGUAGUUGGGCUUUGAGCUAUUAUUGUGUUAAAUAUUGUUUUCUGUGGAUGUUUGAGCUUACGACUCCUUUUAUUUUACAUUGCCAAAUGAUUUUGACCUUUCUGAAUUUUUUUGAAUUUUUCGCACAUUUUUGCCGCCCAUCGUGUGUUGAACGUGGAUGUUCUUUUGCAAAAUAUGAAUCUCAGUUUCGAUCAAUACCGAUGACUUGAAUAGUUCUUACAAUUGAACGAACAUGAAUGCGCGGCUACGAUGAGGCCAAAUGAAGUUGCAUAGACAAUAUGUGAACUCUUUGCAUCUCGUUAUGACUAGCAUAGUAUCGAAUUGAGUCUCUUGUGAUGAUCAUUGCACACUAGCGAAAGUGUGGAGUCUUGUUUAACUUAUAAUGUCAAUGCCUAGUGUGAUGAGCUUACCUGUGAACAAUGCAUGAUAGAUCCUAGAAUUUGCCUCGUUGGUCCGGUCAACUAAGUGAUGCUAUCUCUUAAUAUGAUCUUAGACAACUUCAAAGAGUGUGAGCCAAUUUGACAUAUACCUCUUUUGUGACCUACCUUGUGAGUGUGUGAUUUUCUCUUGAACACCCUUUGAGCCUUACCUUUCUUUGGAAGAAACUUGAUGAAAACUAGACCUUUCUUAAUCCAUCACCCAUGAUCCUCAUGAAGUUGUGGUUAGUUUGAAUAGACAACUUAGGCCAAAAGCCUAAGUUGGGGGUGUGGUGAAAAGAGAAGGCGAAUCAAGAAGUGCAAGAAAGUCCCUCCUACCAAUGGUUUUGAGGAAAAUGGAACCCCUCCAAAAAACAAAAAAAAAA